CCUACGGGAGGCAGCAGUAGGGAAUAUUGCUCAAUGGGGGAAACCCUGAAGCAGCAACGCCGCGUGGAGGAUGAAGGUUUUCGGAUUGUAAACCUCUUUUGGUAGAGAAGUUAAUGACGGUAUCUAACGAAUAAGGAACGGCUAACUCCGUGCCAGCAGCCGCGGUAAAAUGGAGGGUGCAAGGGUUACUCGGAAUCACUGGGCGUAAAGAGCGCGUAGGCGGGAUAGCAAGUCAGAUGUGAAAUGCUAGGGUUUAACCAUAGAACUGCAUUUGAGACUGUUAGUCUAGAGUAUGGGGGAGGUAGGUGGAAGUCUUGGUGUAGGGGUGAAAUCCGUAGAGAUCAAGAGGAAUACUGAUUGCGAAGGCGACUUACUAGAACAUAACUGACGCUGAGGCGCGAAAGCGUGGGGAGCAAACAGGAUUAGAUACCCGAGUAGUC
RNAcentral lists this ribosomal RNA (440 nucleotides) under uncultured bacterium. RNAcentral's name for it is "partial 16S ribosomal RNA". It matches the Rfam family "Bacterial small subunit ribosomal RNA", at positions 338 to 795 of the family's 1533-position model. The record is from RNAcentral.